UAGGCAUAUAUAUAUAUAAUAUAUAUAUAUUUUUAAAUUGCACAUAAGAUGAUUUAUGUUCUUCAAAGAGGGGAAAUGAAUGAGUCAUCAUAUUUUGUUAUUUUCACUGUCCUAUUAUUAGUGUAGUCUGGAAAGUGUAACAUUCACAGCUACUCCAUUCCUUAUAUAAACUUGUUGUGCUGAUAAGUUAAUCUUCAUACUCAUAUUAAAGCUCACUGAUAUGUAUCAUCAUCAAAGAAUAACUUGUGCAAACUAAUAUUUUCAGUCAUUGAAUGCUUAUUUGAGAAGAUAAAAGAUGUGGUGAAUGUCAGUAUACAGAAACAACAGCUUUCUGAUCUGACAGCUGCUGUCCAGGUUACAAAAUGGCAACUCUCACUUGCAAUACAGCACAGCCCAUAAACUCUGUAACUGAAAUAUAUUACGAGUUGGCAUCUCAGUUGGCGGUUGUGUGGUGAAGAUGUUUAAGACGUCUUUUGAUUGAAAUGUGAAUGGUUUGAAUAAGAUCAGGCAUAAAAGCCAAGCAAAAUCUCAUGCAUUUUCUUUGUCCAAACUUGCCCUCUCUACACCUUGCAGAGUUUACAACAAAGCAAUGCAUUUUUCCUCUGUCAAUCCUUUAAUGGAUCAAACGGUAAAUAGACUACUGGAGCCCGCAAUAAAGACUCUGCCUCACACACGUACUAGAAACAUAAGAUUCCUAUAGUUAACUCAUUCCUGUCCCCCAGCAUCCUACUGUGCCAUCUACCAAUUCAAAGCCUUUGUUAUGACAUCCAGGUUCAUUUCUGUCUGUCAAGCUUCUAAGGCUGCACUUUUCAGGCAAGCUUGAAUCUGCCCUAGGAUUUGUGAUGUGUAGUAGUCAUUAUAUGACUUACUCUCUUGCUUUGGAUUUGAACACAUUUCAUUUUUUUUCUACUUUUUUUCAGACAAAACAUGCAUUUGGAUGAAGAAGCAUUUGCAAUUGCAUUAGUGUUUCAAUUGAGGAUAUUCGAUUGAAUGCAUUACACGCCUUUAAAUCUGAACAAUUCCUUCCUUUAAAGCUGCAUCAUAAACAACAUUUCCGAGUUAUUUCCUAAAAUGUAGAUAACACAAGUACUGUAUUUACUAGAACUCAUACUCAAGAAUUGUUUAUAUCGAAGAUGAGCUGCAGCGUGCGAGUGCUCAUUUAACCUUUCUGUACACACAAAUAAAAUCGGACACAAAAAAACACAAAAAAGAGGCACAGCUUGCUGCAGACGCAUGGAUUGAGGAAGAGCUCCUUACAGCUGCAGUUCAGGUUUCAGCCCUUCAUGCAGCUCACCAUCAUGGAGGGAUGAAGGGCUAUGGGAACAGGAACAGCAGGAAACAAAGGUGGCUUUGUGAGAGGGCCUGCACGUCUGCAGGACUGUGUUGCAUUCCAGUCAAGAGGAUUAGCCUGAUUGGAAAUGGUUUCUCCUUUUAACCUCGGCACGACAUCAGUGGUCAGCAACACUUAAACUGCUUUUGGAUUCAAAUGUUCCUGCACAAUCAGAUACAAAGACUGAGUAGAAUUGCUGAUAUCCUGUGAGCUAUGAGGGCAAUUUCCUUCCCCACCUGUUCAAACACUAGGGAGGCACACGCUGAAAUCACUAUGAAUAGAUGAAUGUGCUAUAUAGCUGUGGUCAUCCGAGCAAAGAUGAUACAUAAAGUGGAGUAUAUAUAAUAUAUACAUAUUCCAGGAACGUUUUGUGACGCACUUUGUGACGCACUUUGUGGCGCACUUUGUGGCGCACUUUGUGGCGCACUUGGUACCAAACGUGAAAGAAUAGUGGUGUCACCGAAUGCAGUAAUUAUGAAACAAACAAAAAAAAGAAGUACAACGUGUUACUCACCCACCACAUACUUGACAAGGGUAAUCCACAAAAGCCUUGCUAUGGCUAAAAGUUAUGACAUGAGGAAACGAUUUGACAGAGGAUCUGCGUGUAGGUCUGGCUGUAGUGAUAGCUUCCUCAAACUAAGAGAAAAAAACUGGAAAGCUGCGGACAACCUCUGGAUGGGCCCAAGUGGAGACAUCCCAGGAGCACAUCGGUUAUCCACACUAGCCCG
Clupea harengus (Atlantic herring) is the source of this 2058-nucleotide long non-coding RNA. Lineage: Eukaryota; Metazoa; Chordata; Actinopteri; Clupeiformes; Clupeidae. The record is from Ensembl.